CUGCACAUUUCAUUGACCUGCUUUCUUUUGUAUAUGUGAGUUGUGUUAUUUCUUAUGUGCUAUACAAAUAUUUGAAGGUUUAUUAGUAUCACUAUAUAGUAAUGCUGCCAGUCUCCUUCAGACAAAA
Cynocephalus volans (Philippine flying lemur) is the source of this 127-nucleotide small nucleolar RNA. NCBI's taxonomy places the organism in Eukaryota, Metazoa, Chordata, Mammalia, Dermoptera, Cynocephalidae. The record is from RefSeq and is a predicted model, not a curated record.